UGGCGGACGGGUGAGUAACGCGUGGAUAACCUGCCUUUCACAGGGGGAUAACAGCUGGAAACGGCUGCUAAUACCGCAUGAGCCUCUUUUGUCGCAUGACGGGAGAGGGAAAGAGAAAUCGGUGAGAGAUGGAUCCGCGUCCGAUUAGCUAGUUGGAGGGGUAACAGCCCACCAAGGCGACGAUCGGUAGCCGACCUGAGAGGGUGGACGGCCACAUUGGGACUGAGACACGGCCCAAACUCCUACGGAAGGCAGCAG
This 258-nucleotide ribosomal RNA is filed under the name uncultured bacterium. RNAcentral's name for it is "partial 16S ribosomal RNA". It matches the Rfam family "Bacterial small subunit ribosomal RNA", at positions 96 to 354 of the family's 1533-position model. The record is from RNAcentral.